This 699-nucleotide long non-coding RNA is filed under the name Malus domestica (apple). RNAcentral describes it as "long non-coding RNA (MDOM_LNC004239)". Lineage: Eukaryota; Viridiplantae; Streptophyta; Magnoliopsida; Rosales; Rosaceae. The record is from RNAcentral.
UCACCUCAAAAUCCCGAAUAUAUUCAAGUAAUUCAACUACUUAUGAUCAAGCAGAUCGAGUUCAAAUUUUCAAAACUUAAGCAAAUACAAAAACAUAUAUUCUUCAAGUACAUCGCCAGGAUUCAAAAUUCUAAAAAUUUAAAAUUUACAAAAUCAUGAAAUAAUUCAACAAAUUAAGAUGCAGAUCGAAACACAAAAAAAAAAGCAAAUAAGUUCGUCUAAAUGUCAUAAUCGGACUCCAAUAUCGCAUGCCCAGUGCCCACAUUCAAAUUCAUAGUCAAGUCCACAAUAGAUCUAGAAAAUUCCGAAACAUAUUCAAAGAAAAAUACAAACUUUUUCACCUUAAAUUACAUAAAUUUCAAAUGGGUAACCAUAAAAUCGCCAUGAUCAUAAAAUUAAAAACCCAUGAACUGACAAAUAAAUAAAACCCACAACCUUUGCUGCAGCAAAAUCGCCAUGAUCAUCACAAGCUCUAACAGUUCCUCUUUUCGUCGGGUCUCGAAAGGGGCGAGUGAAAAUCAUGAUUUGGAAGAAGGAAUCCGUGAAGAGGACAUGAGAAGACUAGAGAGAAAGUGAUUUGGAGGAAGAGAGGAAGGAGAGGGAGAGGGAGACAGAGAGAGGGAGACAGAGAGACUGAGGAAGCAGCGGACGGAAGAAAGAAGUGUGAGAUCUGAAAUGAAAUGGGAGUGAGACGUCGGC